CCCAUGGCACAAUGGAUAGCGCGUUGGUCUUCGAAUUCAAAGGUCGUGGGUUCGAAUCCUACAUGGGA
This is a non-coding RNA of Trichonephila inaurata madagascariensis, 68 nucleotides long. NCBI's taxonomy places the organism in Eukaryota, Metazoa, Arthropoda, Arachnida, Araneae, Nephilidae. The record is from the annotation of a GenBank genome assembly.